This 182-nucleotide unclassified non-coding RNA is filed under the name uncultured Microascaceae. Its description in RNAcentral is "sequence contains ITS2". The record is from RNAcentral. Lineage: Eukaryota; Fungi; Ascomycota; Sordariomycetes; Microascales.
CUCCCCUCGAGCAGCGGUUCCCAGUCCUCCGGGGCUGGGGCCGCGGCCCGGUGUUGGGGUCCUGCGGCCUGGCCGCAGUCCCCGAAAUGAAGUGGCGGUCCCGCCGCGGCGCCCCCUGCGUAGUAGUCUACACCUCGCAUCGGGUCCCGGCGAAGGCCAGCCGUCGAACCUAACUUUUGAUG